RNAcentral lists this ribosomal RNA (547 nucleotides) under uncultured bacterium. RNAcentral's name for it is "bacterial SSU rRNA". It matches the Rfam family "Bacterial small subunit ribosomal RNA", at positions 962 to 1509 of the family's 1533-position model. The record is from RNAcentral.
CGAAGAACCUUACCUACCCUUGACAUCCAGAGGAUUUUCCAGAGAUGGAUUAGUGCCUUCGGGAACUCUGAGACAGGUGCUGCAUGGCUGUCGUCAGCUCGUGUUGUGAAAUGUUGGGUUAAGUCCCGUAACGAGCGCAACCCCUAUCCUUAUUUGCCAGCGAUUCGGUCGGGAACUCUAAGGAGACUGCCGGUGACAAACCGGAGGAAGGUGGGGAUGACGUCAAGUCAUCAUGGCCCUUACGGGUAGGGCUACACACGUGCUACAAUGGGGAGUACAGAGGGACGCAAAGCGGCGACGUGAAGCCAAUCCCAAAAAGCUCUCCUCAGUCCGGAUUGGAGUCUGCAACUCGACUUCAUGAAGUCGGAAUCGCUAGUAAUCGCGAAUCAGAAUGUCGCGGUGAAUACGUUCCCGGGCCUUGUACACACCGCCCGUCACACCAUGGGAGUGGAUUGCACCAGAAGUGGCUAGUUUAACCUUCGGGGGAACGGUUACCACGGUGUGGUUCAUGACUGGGGUGAAGUCGUAACAAGGUAAGCGUAGCGAG